CCACAUGCGUUAAGAUCCUGCAAUUCUCUUGUUAAAAAUAAUUUACCCACAACAGCGCCCUGAAAAGACAAAACCUACCUAAUGCGAGAAGUAAUUUCUAUUGCCUUAACACUUUUAAAACUUGGGGAAAACCUGGAUGUAGAAAAUAUUUGACAGAUCUUAAGUUAAUCAGGAGCGCUGCAAUGAACUGCAGCUUUAGAAACACAUGAUUGUGUUAUCUGAAAUAGCAAUUUAGAUUAGAAAAAUAAGAUAUGAGCUUAUAAUUAUUAAGCUGAUCACAUUUUUUAGUGUUUGAAUAAUUUUCAGAUGUUAUAAUUUGUCUUACGUUGUGCAAAAAGGCUGCUUCAACAAAAAUCUAGCAAAUUUCUAUCACGUGAUGUCAUGACGUAGGAGGGGCAAGGCAGAGGAGACCAUCACUAUCACCACAGCGUUCGCACCAAAGUACCAAAAUCAGUCAAAAUGGUGAAAGUUUAUUUAUGUGGAGGUUGUUCCAACUUCUGUCUGUCUGGACAUGAGUUCAUUGAUUUUAAUUUUGAGCGUGGGUGGGGUUUGUUCAAGGAGUGUGUCUGCUAGCUCCGUAGUGUGUGGUGCACAUUUUCGCGAGGUCUACAAUAAAAGUGACUAAGUGAGCUGAAGGUGGGCUUGAAAAGCAAGGAUAAGGUCAGGCUGAAGCCCACCACAGUACCGUCAGUACACAGCAGAGGCAGCUAACAGCGACAAGGACAAAAAGGAGGUGAGACGGCGUCCACAACAGUGGCUACUCCUGGGUACAGCCGCAGCAGAUUCAAGACUCCACGAGGAACUGCCGCUCGGAAACUUGAAGUUUGUUUGGUAAUUAUUACUUACUAUCUACACAUUGACUUAUGAUAUAGUGUAGUAAUAUAGAAGUGUGAUUUUACGAGUUUAAUUUGAAAUCUCCCUGUGUUUAUUACUGUUUACUCAGAAGAGAAGCUCAUUAGCAUCUGGGUGAGCUGUUAAGAGCUAAUGUUUGUGUAGCUGUAGCCUGUAGGAUGAGGCUGGUGACCAAAGACAACAAGUUAGCGCCCAAAAGGGGAAUAAGCACAGAGGACACAGUGAAUGGCAUUGUUGACAAUAAGGCACCAAACAGUUCAGUCGUGUAUUUUGCUAACGUCAUAGCUGCACCGCCAAUAAUGCUGCAAGUUCUGACAGUCAUGAGAGUAAGCUCCUGUAGACGACAUCAAAACAGCCUGGCCAGCCAGCCCAAUGCUCCCUUAUGGGAGGUUGUUACGUUCUCUGUGUAGUAUUAAAUAGAGGACGAGUUCGGCAGGCCAGGCUAGAAUAAAACAGCUUGGCCAGCUGGUCCUAUAUCUGUAAAUACACAUACAGAGCUAGAUCUUUUUCUGUUGCUAUAGUUGGUCUAUACAGUGGUGUGAAAAACUAUUUGCCCCCUUCCUGAUUUCUUCUUCUUUUGCAUGGUUGUCACACAAAAUGUUUCUGAUCGUCAAACACAUUUAACCGUUAGUCAAAGAUAACACAAGUAAACACAAAAUGCAGUUUUGAAAUGAUGGUUUUUAUUACCUACAUUGCCUUGUGUGAAAAAGUAAUUGCCCCCUUGUUAAAAAAAAACCCAACUGUGGUGUUUAACACCUGAGUUCAAUUUCUGUAGCCAACCCCAAGCCUGAUUACUGCCACACCUGUUUCAAUCAAGAAAUCACUUAAAUAUGAGCUGCCUGACACAGAGAAGUAGACCAAAAGCACCUCAAAAGCUAGACAUCAUGCCAAGAUCCAAAGAAAUUCAAGAACAAAUGAGAACGAAAGUAACUGAGAUCUAUCAGUCUGGUAAAGGUUAUAAAGCCAUUUCUAAAGCUUUGGGACUCCAGCGAACCAGUGAGAGCCAUUAUCCACGAAUGGCAACAACAUGGAACAGUGGUGAACCUUCCCAGGAGUGGGCGGCCGACCAAAAUAACCCCAGGAGCGCAGAGACAGCUCAUCCGAGAGGUCACAAAAGACCCCCAGGACAACUUCUAAAGAACUGCAGGCCUCACUUGCCUCAACUAAGGUCAGUGUUCACGACUCCACCAUAAGAAAGAGACUGGGCAAAAAUGGCCUGCAUGGCAGAUUUCCAAGACGCAAACCACUGUUAAGCAAAAAGAACAUUAGGGCUCGUCUCAAUUUUGCUAAGAAACAUCUCAAUGAUUGCCAAGACUUUUGGGAAAGUACCUUGUGGACUGAUGAGACAAAAGUUGAACUUUUUGGAAGGCAAAUGUCCCGUUACAUCUGGCGUAGAAGUAACACAGCAUUUCAGACAAAGAACAUCAUACCAGCAGUAAAAUAUGGUGGUGGUAGUGUGAUGGUCUGGGGUUGUUUUGCUGCUUCAGGAACUGGAAGGCUUGCUGUGAUAAAUGGAACCAUGACUUCUACUGUCUACCAAAACAUCCUGAAGGAGAAUGUCCGGCCUUCUGUUCGUCAACUACAGCUGAAGUGAUCUUGGGUGUUGCAGCAGGACAAUGACCCAGAACACACCAGCAAAUCCACCUCUGAAUGGCUGGAGAACAACAAAAUGAAGACUUUGGAGUGGCCUAGUCAAAGUCCUGACCUGAAUCCUAUUGAGAUGCUAUGGCAUGACCUUAAAAAGGCGGUUCAUGCUAGAAAACCCUCAAAUAAAGCUGAAUUACAACAAUUCUGCAAAGAUGAGUGGGCCAAAAUUCCUCCAGAGCAGUUAUUGCUGCUAAGGGAGGCCCAACCAGUUAUUAGGUUCAGGGGGCAAUUACUUUUCACACAGGGCAAUGUAGGUUUGGAUUUUGUUCUCUCCCUAAAUAAUAAAAACCAUCAUUUCCAAACUGCAUUUUGUGUUUACUUGUGUUAAAUGUGUUUGAUGAUCAGAAACAUUUUAUGUGACAAACAUGCAAAAGAAUAAGAAAUCAGGAAGGGGGCAAAUAGUUUUUCACACCACUGUAUUUCUAAGCUAGAAAAAUUAAAAACGGUUAUAUAAUGUUGGCUGACAUGUUCAGAUUGUGAAAAUAACUUGCAUAUAUACAUUUGUACUUGUGUUUUAUAGAUAAUGGCAGAUGUAACUUCACAGGUGGAAGCCAUGAGCUCAUUCCUGAUGCUGCUGAUUCUCAUGAUGAUGUGGCAGAAGGCCGUCUGUCUGCAGAUCACCACCAGCUGACCUCGGUGAACCGUGCAACUCGAAACAACUCAUUUGUCACCGAUCCGGUACUCGGCUCAUCUUCCUCAAAGAAGAAGGAUCAUUUUUAAAACCUUCUGUUUGGCGUCGGACUCCAGCUGCGGGUCUCCUUUUCCCGUCUUUCAGCUAAACAGCUGAGCUGUCAGCUGGUCCUUCAUCCUUGUCUUUUAUACAUAAAAACCCACUAAACUACAGAGAAGUAACAAUCUGUCACAGACCGCUCCAAGUUCUAUCUCACCAUUUACCCCCCAGCUCCGUGACAUGUGUGGAAUAGUCCAUAGUGAACCAUCUGUACUGGACCGCUGCAUCCACACCUGAUGGCAACCCUGACAUGAUGGAGGCAAAAUGGAAUUCACUUAUGAAUUAUGUUCAGGACAUCCAUGAACAUGAGACACCUGCAUUUCCAGUUUGUCUCCAUCCUCCACUUGAAGGACAAAGCAGGAACAAGCAGUGGCUAGUUCCAGUAUCAACUUCAGCAGUCAAGUUGGAGAAAGCAGCAUUUCAGCCAGGAUGUGAAGGAUGUGAGGCAGCUGUCCUCUCAUCACAAGACAUUAUCACUAGAGGCCUUCCACUCCCUCAUCCUGAGAUUUGCUUCUAAGCAUACAGGCUCUCAUACCUUGGCACGUACACCAGGCAAGUUUUAUUCUGACGAAAUUUUUAAUAUUUUUAUCAGUUCAUGCAAACACUAUUUACAUAU
Nothobranchius furzeri (turquoise killifish) is the source of this 3845-nucleotide non-coding RNA. Lineage: Eukaryota; Metazoa; Chordata; Actinopteri; Cyprinodontiformes; Nothobranchiidae. The record is from RefSeq and is a predicted model, not a curated record.